RNAcentral lists this unclassified non-coding RNA (263 nucleotides) under plant metagenome. RNAcentral's name for it is "partial contains small subunit ribosomal RNA, internal transcribed spacer 1, and 5.8S ribosomal RNA". The record is from RNAcentral.
UUUCCGUUGGUGAACCUGCGGAAGGAUCAUUAUUGUAUAACCGAGGUGCGAGGGCUGUCGCUGACCCGAAAGGUCGUGCACGCCCGAGUGCCCUCACACACAUCCAUCUCACCCCUAUGUGCACCACCGCGUGGGUCCCCCUUUGGCUUGUUCGGAGGGGGGCUUACGUUUACACACAAACUUUGUAUGCAGUGUAGAAUGUAUUUUUUGUUUUUGCGAUCACGCAAUCAAUACAACUUUCAACAACGGAUCUCUUGGCUCUC